CUACGGGCUGCAGCAGUGAGGAAUAUUGCACAAUGGGGGGAACCCUGAUGCAGCAACGCCGCGUGGAGGAUGACGCAUUUCGGUGCGUAAACUCCUUUUAUAUGUCAAGAAAAUGACGGUAGCAUAUGAAUAAGCACCGGCUAACUCCGUGCCAGCAGCCGCGGUAAUACGGAGGGUGCAAGCGGUACUCGGAAUCACUGGGCGUAAAGGACGCGUAGGGGGGUUGGAAAGUCAGGUGUGAAAUCCUACAGCUUAACUGUAGAACUGCACUUGAAACUUCUAAUCUAGAGUAUGGGAGGGGGAGAUGGAAUUAGUGGUGUAGGGGUAAAAUCCGUAGAUAUCACUAGGAAUACCUAAAGCGAAGGCGAUCUCCUGGAACAUUACUGACGCUAAGGCGUGAAAGCGUGGGGAGCAAACAGGAUUAGAUACCCCAGUAGUC
Molecule: ribosomal RNA, 439 nt
Filed under: uncultured bacterium
Lineage: Bacteria
Description: partial 16S ribosomal RNA
Rfam family: Bacterial small subunit ribosomal RNA
Source: RNAcentral